GGGGGAUAAAAAGGGGGGUGUGUUUUUUCUCAAAUUUUUUUUCCUCUUUUUUAAAUUGGGGAGAGGAAAAAAAGCCCCCAAGGGAAAAAAUUUUGGGGUUUUAAAUCUCUUUUAAUUGUUUUUUUUUUUUUUAGGGCAUUUUUUUUUUAAAAUUAAAAAUUUCCGGGGGGGUUAAAAGAAGGAGCCUUGGUUCCUUUUUAAGUUAAGUUUGGAAAAGUAAAAAGUUUACCCAAGGGUUACGAAAGGUAGGGGGCCCUGAGGAGGGUGACCCCCCCACCCUUGUUAUUGAGACACGGACCCAGAUUCCUACGGGAAGCCAGCAGUGAGGAAUUAUGGCCAAAUGGAGGAAACUUUGACGCAGCCAUGCCGCGUGCAGGAUGAUUGCCCUAUGGGUUGUUAAAUUGCUUUUCUGCAAGAAGAAACUUUAGUACGUGUACUAAGCUGACGGUAUUGCAGGAAUAAGCACCGGCUAACUCCGUGCCAGCAGCCGCGGUAAUACGGAGGGUGCAAGCGUUAUCCGGAUUUAUUGGGUUUAAAGGGUCCGCAGGCGGAACUUUAAGUCAGUGGUGAAAGCCUACAGCUUAACUGUAGAACUGCCAUUGAUACUGAAGUUCUUGAGUGUGGUUGAAGUGGGCGGAAUAUGUCAUGUAGCGGUGAAAUGCAUAGAUAUGACAUGGAACACCAAUUGCGAAAGCAGCUCACUAAACCAUUACUGACGCUCAUGGACGAAAGUGUGGGUAGCGGACAGGAUUAGAUACCCUGGUAGUCCACACCGUAAACUAUGAUCACUAGAUGUUGGCGAUAUAAUGUCAGUGUUAAAGAGAAAUCGUUAAGUGAUCCACCUGGGGAGUACGUUCGCAAGAAUGAAACUCAAAGGAAUUGACGGGGGCCCGCACAAGCGGUGGAGCAUGCGGUUUAAUUCGAUGAUACGCGAGGAACCUUACCAAGGCUUAAAUGUAAAACGACCGGUUGAGAAAUCAAUCUUUUUUCGAACGAUUUACAAGGUGCUGCAUGGUUGUCGUCAGCUCGUGCCGUGAGGUGUCGGGUUAAGUCCCAUAACGAGCGCAACCCCUAUUUUUAGUUACCAGCGAGUAAUGUCGGGAACUCUAAAGAAACUGCCCGUGCAAACGGAGAGGAAGGUGGGGAUGACGUCAAAUCAUCACGGCCCUUAUGUCUUGGGCUACACACGUGCUACAAUGGUUAUUACAAUGAGAUGCAAACUGGUGACAGUAAGCUAAUCUAUAAAAAUAACCUCAGUUCGGAUCGGAGUCUGCAACUCGACUCUGUGAAGUUGGAAUCGCUAGUAAUCGCACAUCAGCCAUGGUGUCUGUAAUCGCGCCCC
Molecule: ribosomal RNA, 1342 nt
Filed under: uncultured bacterium
Lineage: Bacteria
Description: partial 16S ribosomal RNA
Rfam family: Bacterial small subunit ribosomal RNA
Source: RNAcentral